AUAACGGAAAGAAUGACAGUGAUCCGGUUAUUGGCAAGUAUUGCGGUAAGACUAUACCACCACUCAUAAUUUCUACGUCCAAUUUCUUGUAUAUUAUAUUCCACACCGACUCAAUUCAUACAAGAACAGGUUUCAUCGCUACAGUUAGUCAAAUAAAACAUUUGAAAAUUAAUACACGAGGUAAACCAAUGUAUGUUGGUGUAAAUGCUGAUGAUUAUAGCAGCAAUGUAGAUCGUAACUGGUUAAUUGAAGCAGAUGAAGACCAAUUGGUGAGGUUUAACAUAACACAUUUCGAUCUGCAGAUAUGUACUAGCUGUGGAUGUGAUUAUAUUAAGAUAUUUAACGGAAAGAGUAGCAGUGAUCCGUUUAUUGGCAAGUAUUGCGGUAACACGAUACCACCAUCAAUAGUUUCUACGUCCAAGUUCUUAUAUGUUACAUUCCACACAGACCAUAGUCAAACAAGAACAGGUUUUAACGCUACAUAUGGUCAAAUAGAACGUUAUGGUGUCAGGUUGAAAGUGAUACCAGGUAAAAUAAUGUAUGUUGGUGUAGAUGCUGAUGAUUAUAACAACAAUGUAGAUCGUAACUGGUUAAUUGAAGCAGAUGAAGACCAAUUGGUGAGGUUUAACAUAACACAUUUUGAUCUGGAGAAAUGUACUAGCUGUGGAUGUGAUUAUAUUAAGAUUUAUAACGGAAAGAAUGACAGUGAUCCGGUUAUUGGCAAGUAUUGCGGUAAGACUAUACCACCACUAAUAGUUUCUACGUCCAAUUUCUUGUAUAUUAUAUUCCACACCGACUCAAGUCAUACAAGAACAGGUUUCAUCGCUACAGUUAGUCAAAUAAAACAUUUGAAAAUUAAUACACGAGGUAAACCAAUGUAUGUUGGUGUAGAUGCUGAUGAUUAUAACAACAAUGUAGAUCGUAACUGGUUAAUUGAAGCAGAUGAAGACCAAUUGGUGAGGUUUAAC
Molecule: long non-coding RNA, 968 nt
Organism: Patella vulgata (common limpet)
Lineage: Eukaryota; Metazoa; Mollusca; Gastropoda; Patellidae
Exons: 6
Source: RefSeq, a predicted model, not a curated record